GACACGCUGGCGGCGUGCCUAACACAUGCAAGUCGAGCGGGGUUGAGGCGAGAGGUAACUCGAGCUUCUACCUAGCGGCGGACGGGUGAGUAACGCGUGGGCAACCUGCCUCAAGGUUUGGGAUAACAGCCCGAAAGGGCUGCUAAUACCGGAUAUGCCUAUGGCCUCGCAUGGGGCUAUGAGCAAAGGGGAAACCCGCCUUGAGAUGGGCCCGCGUCCCAUCAGCUAGUUGGUGAGGUAACAGCUCACCAAGGCGACGACGGGUAGCCGGCCUGAGAGGGUGACCGGCCACACUGGGACUGAGACACGGCCCAGACUCCUACGGGGGGCAGCAGUGGGGGAUCUUGCACAAUGGGCGAAAGCCUGAUGCAGCGACGCCGCGUGAGCGAAGAAGGCCUUCGGGUUGUAAAGCUCUGUCCGGAGGGACGAACAAAAUGACGGUACCUCCGGAGGAAGCCACGGCUAACUACGUG
This 473-nucleotide ribosomal RNA is filed under the name uncultured bacterium. RNAcentral's name for it is "bacterial SSU rRNA". It matches the Rfam family "Bacterial small subunit ribosomal RNA", at positions 33 to 507 of the family's 1533-position model. The record is from RNAcentral.